RNAcentral lists this ribosomal RNA (508 nucleotides) under uncultured bacterium. Its description in RNAcentral is "partial 16S ribosomal RNA". It matches the Rfam family "Bacterial small subunit ribosomal RNA", at positions 30 to 523 of the family's 1533-position model. The record is from RNAcentral.
AUUGAACGCUGGCGGCAUGCCUUACACAUGCAAGUCGAACGGCAGCGGGGGAGAAGCUUGCUUUUCCUGCCGGCGAGUGGCGAACGGGUGAGUAAUACAUCGGAACGUGCCCUGUAGUGGGGGAUAACUAGUCGAAAGAUUAGCUAAUACCGCAUACGACCUGAGGGUGAAAGUGGGGGACCGCAAGGCCUCAUGCUAUAGGAGCGGCCGAUGUCUGAUUAGCUAGUUGGUGGGGUAAAGGCCUACCAAGGCGACGAUCAGUAGCUGGUCUGAGAGGACGAUCAGCCACACUGGGACUGAGACACGGCCCAGACUCCUACGGGAGGCAGCAGUGGGGAAUUUUGGACAAUGGGCGAAAGCCUGAUCCAGCAAUGCCGCGUGUGUGAAGAAGGCCUUCGGGUUGUAAAGCACUUUUGUCCGGAAAGAAAUGGCUCUGGUUAAUACCUGGGGUCGAUGACGGUACCGGAAGAAUAAGGGGCUCCUAACUCUGUGCCAGCCGCCGCAGUAA